UUUCCGUGAUGAAUCAAACUAGCUCACUAUGACUUACACAAACCAACUUACGUUCGGAGUGAACA
Molecule: small nucleolar RNA, 65 nt
Filed under: Neogale vison (American mink)
Lineage: Eukaryota; Metazoa; Chordata; Mammalia; Carnivora; Mustelidae
Source: RNAcentral